CCCUAAACAAUGUCUUUGGUAGGCUGGUAUCUGUAAAGAACAUCUGUGCAUAAGAUCAGCUUGCAAAUGUGAAAUGGACUUUUUAGCACAGGAGCAGCGAAGGCACUACAUUACAAGCUCUGCUGUUUCUUAUUUUCUUCUUUGAUUCUCAUUAUUAUUUAUCUGCCUCUGUUACCUGCAAUUAUUCCUUGCACAAAUAGUAAAUCCGUUCUUCCUUUAAUGUAGGCACAGGACUUCUGAACCUUUAUAAAUUCGGAAUUUCUACUGUCCAGACCAAGAAGACAUAAGGAAGGUUACACACACUAUUGAGAGUUGCUACACUUCACAAGCAUAAAUGGGCCCCUGACGUACCAAAGAUGAAAAUGUGGAAGUUGAAGAGAAAAUUCAAGCCAAAAGAGGACCAAGAAGACCUACUCACUUCACUGAAUCUUCUGCAGAUGAAUAGGAGCUCUCCAUGACAACAACAGGGACAGACCUCACCACCAUACUACUGACAUCUCAUCCUCUGCCAUCGAAAGAGAAGUCCCACUCCUUCUGCCCGGACAGGAUAUGGGGAAGAUCAACAUUGGAUGUCGGCAUUCAUUGUAGAACCAGACACAGAGUGUGCAACAUCACCACAUCAGCAGUGACUCAAUACUGAGAGAACGUGAUGCACACUCAUCAUUUGAUUUUGAACUUUUCUUGAUUUAUUUUCUCCUCAUUAUCCUCAUUUCCUCUCUCUUGUGUUUGUGUUUUUUCUUAAAGGAUAUAUUAAGACAUUUUCUAUUUGUAAACUGUUGAGGUGUAAAUGAUACUGGAUUGUUUUACCUUUUGACAGUCCUUUAUAAAGUGCCUAAUUAAUAAAGCACCCACUACAUAAAAAUUAAUGUAAUAACAAUUACAAUAAAGCAGACAAGCUUGUAAUUAUAAUUAAUUCUGAAG
Molecule: long non-coding RNA, 921 nt
Organism: Erpetoichthys calabaricus (reedfish)
Lineage: Eukaryota; Metazoa; Chordata; Cladistia; Polypteriformes; Polypteridae
Exons: 3
Source: RefSeq, a predicted model, not a curated record